UACGAAGGCCCCGAGCGUUAUCCGGAUUUAUUGGGCGUAAAGAGAGCGCAGGUGGUUUUGUGCGUCUGCUGUUAAAUGUCUCAGCUUAACUGGGUCACCGCAGUGGAUACGGCAAAACUAGAGCGUGUGAGAGGUGACUAGAAUUCACGGUGUAGGGGUGAAAUCCGUUGAUAUCGUGGAGAAUACCAAAGGCGAAGGCAUGUCACUGGCACACUGCUGACACUCAGGCUCGAAAGCGUGGGGAGCAAAAAGG
This 253-nucleotide ribosomal RNA is filed under the name uncultured bacterium. Its description in RNAcentral is "partial 16S ribosomal RNA". It matches the Rfam family "Bacterial small subunit ribosomal RNA", at positions 524 to 776 of the family's 1533-position model. The record is from RNAcentral.